RNAcentral lists this ribosomal RNA (497 nucleotides) under uncultured bacterium. Its description in RNAcentral is "partial 16S ribosomal RNA". It matches the Rfam family "Bacterial small subunit ribosomal RNA", at positions 28 to 507 of the family's 1533-position model. The record is from RNAcentral.
GAUGAACGCUGGCGGCGUGCCUAAUACAUGCAAGUCGAGCGAACAGAUGAGGAGCUUGCUCCUCUGACGUUAGCGGCGGACGGGUGAGUAACACGUGGAUAACCUACCUAUAAGACUGGGAUAACUUCGGGAAACCGGAGCUAAUACCGGAUAAUAUAUUGAACCGCAUGGUUCAAUAGUGAAAGACGGUUUUGCUGUCACUUAUAGAUGGAUCCGCGCCGCAUUAGCUAGUUGGUAAGGUAACGGCUUACCAAGGCAACGAUGCGUAGCCGACCUGAGAGGUUGAUCGGCCACACUGGAACUGAGACCCGGUCCAGACUCCUACGGGAGGCAGCAGUAGGGAAUCUUCCGCAAUGGGCGAAAGCCUGACGGAGCAACGCCGCGUGAGUGAUGAAGGUCUUCGGAUCGUAAAACUCUGUUAUUAGGGAAGAACAAAUGUGUAAGUAACUAUGCACGUCUUGACGGUACCUAAUCAGAAAGCCACGGCUAACUACGUG